This 523-nucleotide ribosomal RNA is filed under the name uncultured bacterium. RNAcentral's name for it is "bacterial SSU rRNA". It matches the Rfam family "Bacterial small subunit ribosomal RNA", at positions 8 to 525 of the family's 1533-position model. The record is from RNAcentral.
AGAGUUUGAUCMUGGCUCAGAUUGAACGCUGGCGGCAGGCUUAACACAUGCAAGUCGAGCGGAGUGAUGGUGCUUGCACUAUCACUUAGCGGCGGACGGGUGAGUAAUGCUUAGGAAUCUGCCUAUUAGUGGGGGACAACAUUUCGAAAGGAAUGCUAAUACCGCAUACGUCCUACGGGAGAAAGCAGGGGAUCUUCGGACCUUGCGCUAAUAGAUGAGCCUAAGUCGGAUUAGCUAGUUGGUGGGGUAAAGGCCUACCAAGGCGACGAUCUGUAGCGGGUCUGAGAGGAUGAUCCGCCACACUGGGACUGAGACACGGCCCAGACUCCUACGGGAGGCAGCAGUGGGGAAUAUUGGACAAUGGGCGCAAGCCUGAUCCAGCCAUGCCGCGUGUGUGAAGAAGGCCUUAUGGUUGUAAAGCACUUUAAGCGAGGAGGAGGCUACUGAAGUUAAUACCUUCAGAUAGUGGACGUUACUCGCAGAAUAAGCACCGGCUAACUCUGUGCCAGCAGCCGCGGUAAUA